This 519-nucleotide ribosomal RNA is filed under the name uncultured bacterium. RNAcentral's name for it is "bacterial SSU rRNA". It matches the Rfam family "Bacterial small subunit ribosomal RNA", at positions 8 to 524 of the family's 1533-position model. The record is from RNAcentral.
AGGGUUUGAUUCUGGCUCAGGAUUAACGCUGGCGGCAUGCCUAAUACAUGCAAGUCGAACGAGACAAUUUAUUGUCUAGUGGCGAACGGGUGAGUAAAGUAUUUCUAAUCUGCCCUAAAGUGUGGGAUAACUAUUGGAAACGAUAGCUAAUACCGCAUAGGAUACAAGGAGGCAUCUCUUUGUGUUUAAAGGUGCGUUUGCACCGCUAUAGGAUGAGGAAAUAUCACAUUAGCUUGUUGGUAGGGUAACGGCCUACCAAGGCGAUGAUGUGUAGCCGAGCUGAGAGGUUGAUCGGCCACAAUGGGACUGAGACACGGCCCAUACUCCUACGGAAGGCAGCAGUAGGGAAUUUUCCGCAAUGGACGAAAGUCUGACGGAGCAAUGCCGCGUGAGUGAUGAAGGUUUUCGAAUCGUAAAGCUCUGUUGUAAGGGAAGAAUAGCAAGUGUAGGAAAUGACAUUUGUCUGACGGUACCUUACCAGAAAGCCACGGCUAACUACGUGCCAGCAGCCGCGGUAAU